GUGCUCAGUCUGCGGGUUUCGUUCUCUGCGAACAUUCACGACAAUCUAUGUUGUUCGUUGUCGACGAAACCUGAAAAUUGUGCAU
RNAcentral lists this microRNA precursor (85 nucleotides) under Patiria miniata (bat star). RNAcentral's name for it is "mir-981 microRNA precursor family". It matches the Rfam family "mir-981 microRNA precursor family". Lineage: Eukaryota; Metazoa; Echinodermata; Asteroidea; Valvatida; Asterinidae. The record is from Rfam by way of RNAcentral.